GAUAAACGUUUGCGGCGUGCCUGAUGCAUGCAAGUCGAACGAUUUGAUUAUUCGCAAGAGUUAUCAGAUAGUGGCGAACGGCUGAGUAACGCGUAAGUGACCUACCUUCAAGUGGGGAAUAACCUGUCGAAAGAUAGGAUAAUACCGCAUGUGCUGGUAAAACGUUUGGUUUACCAGUAAAGCCGUAAGGCGCUUGAAGAGGGGCUUGCGUCUGAUUAGCUAGUUGGUAGGGUAAUGGCCUACCAAGGCGAUGAUCAGUAGCUGGUCUGAGAGGACGACCAGCCAGACGGGGACUGAGAUACGGCCCUGACUCCUACGGGAGG
Molecule: ribosomal RNA, 323 nt
Filed under: uncultured Chloroflexota bacterium
Lineage: Bacteria; Bacillati; Chloroflexota
Description: bacterial SSU rRNA
Rfam family: Bacterial small subunit ribosomal RNA
Source: RNAcentral